This 118-nucleotide ribosomal RNA is filed under the name Lepisosteus oculatus (spotted gar). The record is from RNAcentral. Lineage: Eukaryota; Metazoa; Chordata; Actinopteri; Semionotiformes; Lepisosteidae.
UCCAUCAGUCAUAUCACCCUGCAAUUCACAACUAGCAACCCACUGAAGCUCAGCAGGUGUGAGCCGGGUCAGUACCUGGAUGGGAGACCUCCUGGGAAAGCUAAGGUUGCUGCUGGAA